RNAcentral lists this long non-coding RNA (1234 nucleotides) under Monodelphis domestica (gray short-tailed opossum). RNAcentral's name for it is "lncRNA (ENSMODG00000048067.1)". The stretch from base 422 to 494 matches the Rfam family "tRNA". Lineage: Eukaryota; Metazoa; Chordata; Mammalia; Didelphimorphia; Didelphidae. The record is from RNAcentral.
CUAAAAUGGCACAUAUGGUAUUCAGUACACAUCUUAUCCAGGGAUAUUCUUUUUUUUUAAACCCUUACCUUCCAUCUUAGAAUCAAUGCUGUGUAUUGGUUCCAAGGCAGAAAAGUGGUAAGGGAUAGAUAGACAAUGGGGGCUAAGUGACUUGCCCAGUGUCACACAGCUGGGAAGUGUCUGAGGCUAGAUUUGAACCUAGGACCUCCCAUCUCUGGGACUGGCUCUCAAUCCACUGAGAUACCCAGUUGCCCCCUCUAGGGCAAUUCUUAUAAACUUUACUGGAUCCUUCCUGGAUGUUCCAUUACAUAAGAAUCAUUUCUAGUGUGCCAGUGAAAUGUCAUCCCCUGAUUUCACCAAAUGAUCUGUUCUCCUUUUCUAAUCAAACAUUUUCUCCAUAAUGAUCCCUUUUACCUGAGGCAGCUAGGUGGCCCAGUAGAUAGAGCACUGGACUUAGAAUCAGGAUGACCUAAGUUCCAAUCUAAGCCUAGUCAUUUACUACAUCUAUGAUCUUGGACCAGCCACUUAGCCUCUGUUUGCUCCAGAUUACUCAACUGUAAAAUGGGGAUAAUAACAGUACCUAAUUCUCACAUGUGUAAGGAUUAAGUGAGAUAACUGUAAAGUCUUUAACACAGUACCUGGCACAUGGUAAGCACUUAAAUGCUUAUUUCCUUAUUUUCUUCCACUUACAUAGAGAAUCAUACAAUCAUAGGCAGAGCUGGAAAGGACCUCGGAAAUCAUCCAAUUCAACACUUCCAUUUAACAUAUGGCACAACUGAAACCCAGAAGAGUAAAGUGGCAUCCAAAGUUGUACAAAGAAUAAAUGAUGAAGCAAAUGAAGCUGUCCAUACAAAGAAUUCUAUGGGAGAGGAUGCAGAAGCCAUGUCAGGACUCCCUAUCAGAACACACCAAAUUUGAAAGACUUUGGGGGGAAGGAAAUUUGGGUUAGAUGUUUUGUGUUAUUAAGAUUUUUUCCAAAGACAGCCUACCUGUCUUUCUGGCAUAGCUGUCAAUGCGCAGACAUUUGGGGAGGGCACCCAAAUGCCAGUUUUCUGUUUGGUUGGGCAGUGGCAUUAAAGCCUUGCCCAAAAGGGGGGGUACCAAUGAGAAAUUUGGGUGACUCAGUUUCCCUCAGCCCUUUGAGAAACCUCAGUACCAAGCACCCCUGUUUUGGGGUUGAACUACGGACUUCAGAGCUAUUUGGUAUAAAGAUUAAAAUCAAUAUACAAUAACU